UUCAGGCAGGGCUCACGGGAGGUGGAUGUCUGGAGGAUGGGAAGCAGCCAGGUGACUGACAACCAUGUAGGCUGGGCGCAGCACUGAGGAGUAGGGACAAAAGGAGCUGACCCUGCAGGGGGAAUUGAUGGCUUUGCUGAGGGAGGACUGCGGAGGUAGGAAAAAUCUGAGGGAUUUCACUUAGAGAGAAUUUAAGGUUAUUUCUCUACCUCUCCACAGCUCAAGGAGACUGAGAGUUAGCAGCUCUCAGCAGGCUUUAUCAAUUCUGCCAGCACAGAGAAGCUGAUAUAGUUAUGCUCAUGUAACAACUCACGUGAUGUUCUUAUUCCUGAAUUAAUACUUCUCUUGUUUUUUUUCUCCAUCUUGUUUAAAUCUUGUGUAAAGCUGAACUGUAUUUAAAACAAAACAAAUGAACAAGGACAAACAAACCACAAAGGAAUUUUUUUUUAUGUACCUUAAGCAGUUUAAUUCAGCCCUUGCAGUGUCAUGGUAUAAUACCAGCAUAUGCUCAGCUCUUAGUGAACUGUUUCCCUUGCUUUAGGGCUAAUAUUGGCUAGAAAUGGAGACCUGCAGGAGAUAAACAGCAGUAAAGCCAAUUGCAGAUGAGCUUAGCUAAAAGCAAGAGAUACAGUCUCAGUGCAUACCAAAAGACAGCGUGCAAGGCUAAUAUAUCAUGCAAAUGGUGGACUAGGAGCAUUUAGGCAUGGAUGGGCUGUGGGCUGUGCAGAAGGAGUGAAUCUCUCUGCAUUCAGCUAUGCGCUCGUGUGUGCGCGUCUCACUCCCCCUCCACUGCUCCCCCCGUCUCCAUCUCUCCCAGACAGGCAAACAGACCUGCUUCCUCCUUUGUGCUGCCAGUCAGGUCCUCCCUCUGCAGUCCUAUACGGGAAGAAGAUUUAUAAUAGCUGCAUGCCAUGCCAGUGUCUCAAAGAGACAGCAUCACGCCAUGUGGAGGAUUUUUAUAUGGGGUUUAACUUUGCUCCACUGAAUUGGAAAGGCUCUCAGUUGCCUGACUCUUACCUCUCUGACUACUGUCCAGGCUUUUCCCUUAGUUGUACACAGAUUUCUCCAAUGACAUAGAAGCCUUUACUCCAGAUGGAAAAAUCAGUUCCCCUGGGAAGAUGUAAGCCAGCAUUUAUGGGGUCUUUUAUGACAUGCGGAGGAACUGAAUUCUUGGAAAAUUACAAGAAGGAAGGUCAUGAUUCCUGCUGAAAUACAGGAGGAAUCCUACCUCUUUUACGGUCCUGUGAUAGGGGCAACAGAGUUGAUGAAUGGAUGUUAAUUGCCGGUGUAUGUCUCAGCAAAACUGAGUGGAAAUCAAGGUUAAUGUGUCUUCUCCUAAACUUUUAAUAUUGUUCCUCUGGAGGAUCAAGUUCAAAUCACUCCAGCCAGCAACCUCUGCACAAACAGGUUAAUUUGUGAUUCAAAUGUAUAACUCCACACAAAAAGAAGUAUAAGCAGUAGCUUUAAUACUUAAUGACUAGCAGUAAAUUUAUGUCUGAGAGGAAGAUACUCAUCUCAGCCUUUCUUAAGAGAGCUUGAUUUUUCUUGUAUCACAGGGAGUUUACAGAAAGCACUGUUUCUUACUUUGUCUGGGAGCCGAAAGCUGUUAAAAAAUGAACGUAUCUAAAUAUCUGAGCUCAUAAUUCAAAUUAGAUUACAUUGAAAGCUUAACAGUGGAGGUACUAAGGACAUGGAAACAUGGAACAAAAUCAGUACAAAAAGGUUAUUCUCUAAAGAAGAUGUCAACCAGAAGCAGUCAGAUACUGAGAUCAGAAUGAAAAUGCAGUGUGAGAGCCUUUUGAAGAAAGCAGAUUUAUUAUUAUUACAAUUUUCAUAUAUUGCCAAAGGUACAGAGAAAAUGAGGUCACAAGAGACCAGAGUCACAAAACUGUGAUUCCUUUUAUAUCAAAAUGACUCUCAAAGGCUUUCUUAAACAAGAGUGGAAGACAAUGUACUUACUCAUGGAGUAUCGCGUUAAGAUUCCAACCAGGAAAAGACAAGUAGCACAUAACUAAGGAAGAAACACUGCUUUUAUAGAACAUACUAGCGCUUUGCUCAUGCAUUUCACAGAGUGAUGGCACACACUUCCAGUAAUGCAAGAUAAACUCAGUUAAAAAAGCUUAGAACUCUGCACGUUAAAAGGAGAUUCCAAAGAAGGGAUAUGAUGAAGGUCUGUAAGUUCCUGUUCACAUUCUCCAUGCUACUCAUGAAGUGACUACUGGCUAGUACUCACAACAAGGAAUAGGAAUGGAAAUAAAAAUACCAGCCAAAGUGUGCAGAGUAGGCAAAGGAGACUACAUUUGCAUGGAGGGCAUGACUAUGCUCUGGAACUUUUACUAUUCUAACUUAUUGUCUAUGUGUGCCGACAACAGCAAAGAGAGGUCAGACAAAUUUUGAUGAAGGCUGCAUUCUCUCUAUAACUACACUUCUUUUUUCUCAGGUGAUAAGUGAUAGGAUGUCAGGAAGCAGUCUCAAGAUGAGCCAAGGGAGUCACAGAUUAAACAUUAGGAAUAAUUUCUUUAUGGAAAGGUUGGUUAGGCAUUAGAAAGAUCUGUCCAGGAAGAUGGUGGAGUCCCCAUCCCUGAAGCUAUGUAAGAGAUGUAUGAACAUGUGCUCGGGGAUGUAUGUUAGUAGUGGAUUUGGUAGUGUUAGGCUGAUGGCUGGACUUGACCUCAGAGGGUCUUUUCCAACAAGAUUCUAUAAAAAGUUGUUUAAUGGUGAACUGUGUGUACAGUCCUCAGCAUGCUCAAGUAACGUAGUACCAGAAAACAGAAAGAUAUUAGUAGAACUGUAUUAGUCCUCCUAUAGAGGACUCCUGGGCUUUGGUUAUUACUAUCAGAAACAGGUCAAGAUGGACCUUUUGUGUUAUUUUGUACUUGUUUCCUCUCCACUGUGUACUUUUGUUUAGAGGAGAAUUUCUCAAGGGAAGGAUGAAAAGAGGUGUUCAGAUCUCAGUGACUGUCAGUCAUAUUGACUUUUGUUCCUCUGAACAAUUUUCACUUAGUUUUUAUUGAUUAACCAUUAUUAUUAGAUCAACGUUGUUAUAGUUGUGUGCAUAACUUAAAAUUACAAUUCAAUGUUUGAAAGCAUUUCAUUUUGAGUACUGGUGUUGAAAAUAAUUUUCAAACAGGCUAGACCCACUAAAUGUUGUGUUUGCACCUCAGAAAACUUGAUCUGGUCUUUUUUUGUUCUUUUUUUUUUUU
This 3203-nucleotide long non-coding RNA is filed under the name Gallus gallus (chicken). Its description in RNAcentral is "lncRNA (ENSGALG00010003885.1)". Lineage: Eukaryota; Metazoa; Chordata; Aves; Galliformes; Phasianidae. The record is from RNAcentral.